RNAcentral lists this ribosomal RNA (253 nucleotides) under uncultured bacterium. RNAcentral's name for it is "partial 16S ribosomal RNA". It matches the Rfam family "Bacterial small subunit ribosomal RNA", at positions 524 to 776 of the family's 1533-position model. The record is from RNAcentral.
UACGGAGGGUGCAAGCGUUGCUCGGAAUCACUGGGCGUAAAGGGCGUGUAGGCGGCUUCGUGUGUCUGACGUGAAAGCCCCGGGCUCACCCCGGGAAGUGCGCUGGAAACUGCGGAGGUAGAGUCCCGGAGAGGGUGGUGGAAUUCCAGGUGUAGGGGUGAAAUGCGUAGAUAUCUGGAGGAACAUCGGGGGCGAAGGCGGCUACCUGGAUCGUAACUGACGCUGAGAUGCGAAAGCGUGGGGAGCAAACAGG